AACUCCAAGUUAGGUAUUAGACCAUCUGUACACAUCCUUCGUUUAUUAUUAACUGUAUUACCUUUCUUGCUCCUUUUCUUCUUUUAGUUUGUUCUACUUUCUGGGAGAUUUACUUAGUUUUAGCUUCUGACUUUUUAAUUAUUACUUUACUGUAGUUAUGUUUAAUUUAUAACUCUUUAUUGUUCAAUUACUUCAUUUUAUAGCACUGUACUCUUUAUUUUUUGAUGGGCCCAGUAUCUUCUGUUUGAUCUAUAUUAAUCAUUGUCUUGAGGGUUUUUUUUUUUUUGGUUGUUGUUCUUUAUGUACUGCUUCUUGUUUUCUGAGUCUCCUUUUUCUAUUGGCUUUGUCUUUCACGUAAGUGGCAUUCUUCAAAAGUCUGAAGAAUGUUCAUUCAUAUUUAAGACUGAAAGAGUGAUAAAAAGAACUUACUUAUAAAAGAGAAACAAACUCACAGAUUUUUUGAAAUCAAACUUGUGGUUACCAAAGGGGAAAAUGUGGGAGGGGUAAGUUAGGAGGAUGGGAUUAAGAUAUAUACACUACUGUACAUAAUAUUGCUAACUAACAAGGACCUGCUCUAUAGCAAGGGAAAUCUACUCAAAAUUCUAUUAUAACCCCUAUGGAAAAAAAGAAUGAAUAUAUGCAUAUGUAUAAAAGAUUCACCUUGCUGUACACCUGAAACUAAUGCAAUGUUGUAAGUCAACUAUAAGCCAAUAAAAGUUUAAAAAAUAAAAUAUAUUCAUCUUAAAGAGCAAGCCAUAAAAUAGCUGGUUGGAGUUCUGUGUAUAAUUCAAGUAUUUCUCUUGAGUUCUGAGUACCACUUAAGGACAAAAAAGUCAUAAAUUGUCUUCCUCAUUAGGGCAUCCUUCAGUAUCAGUAGGUGGAGGAAGAUUUUUGCUCUGAGCUAUUAUUUUGCCUCCAGAGAAUCUUCAAAUCUCUUAUGUGAAGAGAGACUAUGUAUAUAUCCCUGGAAGAAUUCUGGAAGCAAGAUGAGGAAAGGGCAACCUCUCAUGAGGUCUUCUCUGUAUAUAUUUUUCAAUUAAUCUCUCUGCUUUAGGGCCUCUUAGAUCACCCACGCUAUCUUCUGUGCUGAUGUACAAAAGAGGCCCUUUCCAUUUCUAUUUCUCCAGAGACUAAUCAGUCCUGCAUCUGGGUGGGGCUGGGGUGGAGGAGGGUUGCCCAUAUGAUCAGCAUAUUGGAUGCAUCUGAGGGAUUUCUUUCUUUUUCUUUUUCCUUUUUUUGCUUUUUGGGCCACACCUGUGCCAUGUGGAAGUUCCUAGGGGUCCAAUCAGAGCUACAACUGCCAGACUUCACCACAGCCACAGCAACGCAGUAUUCAGUCUAUGUCUGUGACCUACACCACAGCCCAGGGCAAUGCCAGAUUCCUGACCCACUGAGUGAGGGCAGUGAUCAAACCCACAUCCUCAUGGAUACUAGUCGGAUUCAUUUCCACUGCACCACAGCAGGAACUCUUGAGGAAUUUCUUAUCUAGAGACUUUAGACUAGUGACCUUAUUUCCAACCCAUACUAUCAAUCCCACUUGCUAUGACACCUGGUGUUGCCCAAGGAUGAACAGUCUCAGGGUAGAGUGAGAAAACCUAUUGCUUCUUGACAACCCUCCCAUGUCUAUGUACUGAAACUCCCUACAAUCAGUUAACAUUUUCUAUCUUCCAAAAAAUGACUUGAAAUGUGUUCUACCACAACUCUUAGGCUUUUCAAUUCUUUUGGCAUCAUUUAGUGGGGUUUGGAAAGAAAGGGAAGAUGAAUCAUGUGGUUCAUCUUCUAUGUUUAACCAGACAGUCAUGAUAUAAUCUUCUUAUUCAAACAUUUAGAAAUAUUAUUGAAUAAUCCUGAUUAAACACAGAAAAUUGAAGAACGUAUGAAACCAAAAUGGAAGUAAAGAAUUUGUACAAGUGUGUGUGUGUGUUUAAUAUAAAACCUCAAGUAUAGAGAAAUUGAGAGGAAAUAAUAACAUCAUUUUAGGAUCUGAAAACAAGCUGGGACAUGUGAACUGAUUUAGUAUAAAAAGAAAAUUGAAAAUUAUACUGGUGACAGGGACAAGAACAAGCCAAAAGCAGUCUCAUUUUUACUCAAAACCCCAUAAAGAUUCAAAAAUUGGUGACUUGAGCCAGGCAUCUUGGAAAGUAGAAUUGUGGAUGCGCUUAAAAUCAAAAACAGUAGUUAAAAUCUAUAGUCAUUCUGGAGUAGAGUUGCAGGGUUUAGCAAAUAAAAAUGGAUAUUCCCAGCUAAAUUUGAAUGCCAGGUAAACCAAUGCCAGGUAUGCCAAUAAAAUUUUAAUUUGUAUCAGAACUUAUAUGGGAAAAAGAUCAUUCAUCUUAAAGUCAGAUUUAACCUGGUGGCUGGAACUUUUUCUUCCAGCUCCGUUACCUUCAGAUACCCAGAGCUGAGUGGACACUGACCCUGUUCCUUCAGACAGAAAGUUAGAAAUUUACUCCUAGAAGUGAGUUGGAAACAAUUUGGACAACAGACCACCAGGCCCUGCUGUUUUUUUACAGAAAGUCUCUGCAUGGAAUGGUGAGCCUGAACCCCACCACCUCCAGUCUUCUUCCCCCGCAUGGCUGAAAGCCAGGCUUACAGUUCUCUGAAAGGAAAUUAUCCUGAGUAUAUGCUGAAACCAUGAGUUUCUUUUUCUUUUUCUUUUUUUAAGGUCCUCAUAGGCAUGUGGAGAUUCCCAGGCUAGGAGUCAAAUCAGAGUUGUAGCUGCUGGCCUCACCACAGCCACAGCAACUAGGGAUCCGAUCCAUAUCUGAGACCUACCCCACAACUCAUGGCAAUGCUGGAUCCUCCACCCACUGAGUGAGGCCAGGGAUCAAACCUGCAUCUCACAGAUCCUAGUCAGAUUUGUUUCUGCUGAGCCACCACAGGAACUCCCUGAAACCAUGAGUUUCUUGAUAAGAGUUUUAGAGAUCUAGAUCAGUGAUUUAUUUCUGAGAAAAUGAACGGAGACAUCCACAUACUGGUAGGAAUGGGUCCCUCAAUUCUCCCAGUCAAAUUAACCCAUCCUAGGUAAGACAUCCCUCCAAGACAUACACAACCCCGUGAAUUUUUUGGUAAUUCACUCUUUAAAUAUUAACCUUCAGCUAAGAAACACCAGGUACUUGAGUAACACCUUUCAUAACAAAAGACAAAGCUCAAAACCUAAAAAUGUUAAAAAGGGAAACUGAAGGAGAGAAAGGAAUUUGAAAGAUCAGAAGAAACCUUGAAAAAAUUUGCAAUCUUCAGAGGUACAAGAUUCAACUUACUGAUUCCUUGAGAUAAGAAGAAAAUGAGGUAGAAAAGGAAGAUUCAGAGAACAAAUACUCUUACAAAUUAAAGAUGAAAGCAGAUAUAAAAAUUCAACUCAGAGCUGUAGACUAAAGCCAAAGAAAUACCUCAGAAAGUUAAAAAGUAAAAUAAAAUAAAAUAAAAUAAAAUAAAAUAAGACUAUGAAAAUAAGAGAAAUAAGAAAAUUUAGAUCUCCAAUAUCUGCUAAGAGAAGCAGCAUAGAGAAGAGAGAAAACAGAGGAAGAAACUUGCAAAAUAAAUGAAUAAAUAGGCUUAAAUAUAAAGUAAAUUUUUUUGAUUAGUGGGUUCAUUGUGUAUUUAAGAUAAUGACUGAAAAAAUGCAAGAACCACAUCCAAGAGUAUCAUCAUUAAGUUUCAAAAAUCCUGAAGAGAUUUCAAAAAUUUCUGGGUAUAAAAAAGUCACAUAUAUUGAAGUUCCCAUCGUGGCGCAGUGGUUGACGAACCCAGCUAAGAACCAUGAGGUUGAGGGUUUGAUCCCUGGCCUCGCUCAGUGGGUUAAGAAUCUGUCGUUGCCGUGAGCUGUGGUGUAGGUUGCAGACAUGGCUCGGAACCCGAGUUGCUAUAGCUCUGGCCUAGGCUGGCAGCUACAGCUCCAAUUAGACCCCUAGCCUGAGCAUCUCCAUAUGCUGCAGGUCGGCCUUAGAAAUGACACAAAAGGAGUUCCCAUUGUGGCACAGUGGUUAACAAAUCCGACUAGGAACCAUGAGGUUGUAGGUUCGAUCCCUGGCCUUGCUCAGUGGGUUAAGGAUCUGGCGUUGCUGUGAGCUGUGGUGUAGGUCCCAGAUGUUGCUGGGAUCCUGCAUUGCUGUGGCUCUGGCGUAGGCUGGUGGCUACAGCUCAGAUUCGCCCCCUAGCCUGGGAACCUCCAUAUGCCGCGGGAGCGGCCCAAGAAAUGGCAAAAAGACAAAAAAAAAAAAAGAAAUGACAAAAAAAAAGUCACAUACAGAAGAUCAAGAAUCACAUUUGUCAACAUCCGGAUUAGAUAAUAGAAGAAAAAUGCAUGAAUGUUUUCACAACUUUGAGGAAGUAGAAUUUCCAACUUAGGAUUUUCUACAGGUAAACAAUGAAAUAAGUAAGAGCUAAAAGUAAUGACAAUUUUAGAUAUAUAUGUGAGCACUCAAAUAUUUACUUCCCAAGUAUAUUUUUUAAGAAGGCUAAUAAAGAAAACGCUUCAGCAAAACGUCGACACAAAGCAGGAGCAAGCAAGACAUGAUAUUCAAGAAAUAAAGAAUUCAGAAGUUCCCAUCGUGGCACAGGGGAAACGAAUCCGACUAAGAACUGUGAGGUUGCAGGUUUGAUCCCUGGCUUUGCUCAGUGGGGUUAAGGAUCCAGCAUUGCCAUGAGCUGUGGUAUAGGUUGCAGACACGGUUCAGAUCUGGCAUUGCUGUGACUGUGGUGUAGGCCAGUAGCUGGCAGCUCCGAUUUGACCCCUAGCAUGGGAACCUCCAUAUACUGUGGGUGUGGCCCUAAAAAGCAAAAAUAAAUAAAUAAAUAAAAAUAAGGAAUUCAGUAUAGGAAAGAGAUGAGGUGAAUUCCCUCCCAAGUGAUGGCAAAGGCAGACUGAGGGUAGUAGGUGUAUAAAAAUUCUUUAUUGUUUGGGAGUGUAAAUUGGUACCAGCCUAUGAGGAACAGUAUGGAGGUUCCUCAGAAGACUAAAUAAAGAACCACCAUAUGAUCCAGCAAUCCCAAUCCUGGGUAUAUAUGGACAAAACUUUCAUUCAAAAUGAUACUGCACCCCUAUGUUCGUUGCAGCUCUAUUCAUAAUGAGAGCCUGGAGAAGGUCAGCUCACACUAGGGAAGGGCACCCACAGGAGGUCUGCAAGAAAUAAAAAUCUGACAGAUUAGGGAGUUCCCGUUGUGGCACAGUGAAGAUGAAUCCAACUAGGAACCAUGAGGUUGCAGGUUUGAUCACUGGCCUCAUUCAGGCUCAGUGGGUUAAAGAUCCAGCAUUGCCGUGAGCUGUCGUGUGGUUCGCAGACACGGCUCAGAUCUGAUGUAGCUGUGCUUGUGGUGUAGGCCGGCUGCUACAGCUCUGAUUAGACCCCUAGCUCAGGAACCUCCUUAUGCCACGGGUGCAGCCCUAAAAAGACAAAAAGACAAAAAAAAAAAA
Molecule: long non-coding RNA, 5413 nt
Filed under: Sus scrofa (pig)
Lineage: Eukaryota; Metazoa; Chordata; Mammalia; Artiodactyla; Suidae
Description: lncRNA (ENSSSCG00065072550.1)
Source: RNAcentral